Molecule: long non-coding RNA, 1000 nt
Filed under: Taeniopygia guttata (zebra finch)
Lineage: Eukaryota; Metazoa; Chordata; Aves; Passeriformes; Estrildidae
Description: lncRNA (ENSTGUG00000021498.1)
Source: RNAcentral
GGGAUUUUGGGGGGUUUGGGAUGAUUUUGGGGGGAUUUUUGGAGGAUUUAGGGAUGAUUUCGGGGGGAUAUUGGGGGAUUUUUAAGGGUAUUUUGGGUCACUUCAGGGUAUUUUGGGAAAAUUUUAGGUAAUUUUGGGGAUUUUAGGUGAUUUUGAGAUCAUUUGGCAUCAUUUUAGACAGAUUUGAGGGAUUUUGGGGGAGUUUAAAGCAUUUUGUAACAUUUUUGGGGGAUUUUUUAUUGAGAUUUUUUUCUGUUUCGUUGCGUUUUUUGUCAUUUCUUUGCGAUUUCCGGGGGCUUUUUUGGGAUUUUUUUGUGGAUUUUGGUGAUUUUUGCUCCCGCAGCGGCCGAGGAGGAGGAGGAGGAGGAGGAUGAAGAUGAAGAUGAGGAUGAAGAUGAGGAUGAGGAGCGCGUUCCCGACGCGGCCGAGCGGGAAUUGCUGCGCCUGGAAUUCACCUCCCGCAUGUACCAGCGCUUCCUGCAGGGGCUGGACAGCGACUUCGACUACAGGUGCCCCAAAAUCCCCCAAAUUCACCCCAAAACGGCCUCGAAACGGUGAAAAUUAAAAAAAAAAUGAAAAAAAUCCAACAAAAAAUGAGCAAAGUAGCCCAAAAAUCCACAAAAAAACCCAUAAAACCACAGGAAAAAACACAAAAAAGUCCCUCAUAAAAAACCCAAAAUGCCUGAAAUAACCCAAAAAUCCCAAAAUUCACAAAUAAACCCCAAAUAUUCAAAAUGUUUAAAAAUUCCAGAGAAAUCCGUCAAAAAAUGAGCAAAAUACCCCAAAAAUCUACAAAAAAUCCUCCCUUAUGUGCCAGCGCUUCCUGCAGGGGCUGGACAGCGACUUCGACUACAGCGCGGUGGACGAGGACCCGGGCCGGGACCCGCUGGAGCUGCUGGCCCAGGACAUGGAGGAUCGAUACUUCGACGAGGAGGAGCCGGGCCCGGCCCCGCCGCUGCUCUAGGGGCGCGCCCCAAAUCCCCAAAAAACGGCCCAAAAC